Transfer RNA from Cavia porcellus (domestic guinea pig), 64 nucleotides. It matches the Rfam family "tRNA". Rfam says of the family: Transfer RNA (tRNA) molecules are approximately 80 nucleotides in length. NCBI's taxonomy places the organism in Eukaryota, Metazoa, Chordata, Mammalia, Rodentia, Caviidae. The record is from Rfam.
GGGGAUUUAGCUCAGCGGCAUAAGCGCCUGCCUUGCAAGCAGGCAGUCCUGAGUUCAAUUCCCG